CCUACGGGGCGCUGCAGUCGAGAAUCAUUCACAAUGGGGGAAACCCUGAUGGUGCGACGCCGCGUGGGGGAAUGAAGGUCUUCGGAUUGUAAACCCCUGUCAUGUGGGAGCAAAUUAAAAAGAUAGUACCACAAGAGGAAGAGACGGCUAACUCUGUGCCAGCAGCCGCGGUAAUACAGAGGUCUCAAGCGUUGUUCGGAAUCACUGGGCGUAAAGCGUGCGUAGGCUGUUUCGUAAGUCGGGUGUGAAAGGCGCGGGCUCAACCCGCGGACGGCACAUGAUACUGGGAGACUAGAGUAAGGGAGGGGGAACCGGAAUUCUCGGUGUAGCAGUGAAAUGCGUAGAUAUCGAGAGGAACACUCGUGGCGAAGGCGGGUUCCUGGACAGUAACUGACGCUGAGGCACGAAGGCCAGGGGAGCGAAAGGGAUUAGAUACCCUUGUAGUC
This 446-nucleotide ribosomal RNA is filed under the name uncultured bacterium. RNAcentral describes it as "partial 16S ribosomal RNA". It matches the Rfam family "Bacterial small subunit ribosomal RNA", at positions 338 to 795 of the family's 1533-position model. The record is from RNAcentral.